AGCUCCAAUAGCGUAUAUUAAAGUUGCUGCAGUUAAAAAGCUCGUAGUUGGAUCUUGGGAGCGGGCGGGCGGUCCGCCGCGAGGCGAGCCACCGCCCGUCCCCGCCCCUUGCCUCUCGGCGCCCCCUCGAUGCUCUUAGCUGAGUGUCCCGCGGGGCCCGAAGCGUUUACUUUGAAAAAAUUAGAGUGUUCAAAGCAGGCCCGAGCCGCCUGGAUACCGCAGCUAGGAAUAAUGGAAUAGGACCGCGGUUUAUCU
Molecule: ribosomal RNA, 255 nt
Filed under: mammal environmental sample
Lineage: Eukaryota; Metazoa; Chordata; Mammalia
Description: partial small subunit ribosomal RNA
Rfam family: Eukaryotic small subunit ribosomal RNA
Source: RNAcentral